RNAcentral lists this ribosomal RNA (685 nucleotides) under Bacteroides sp. HGA0255. RNAcentral's name for it is "bacterial SSU rRNA". It matches the Rfam family "Bacterial small subunit ribosomal RNA", at positions 67 to 744 of the family's 1533-position model. Lineage: Bacteria; Pseudomonadati; Bacteroidota; Bacteroidia; Bacteroidales; Bacteroidaceae. The record is from RNAcentral.
CAGCAUGGUCUUAGCUUGCUAAGGCCGAUGGCGACCGGCGCACGGGUGAGUAACACGUAUCCAACCUGCCGUCUACUCUUGGACAGCCUUCUGAAAGGAAGAUUAAUACAAGAUGGCAUCAUGAGUCCGCAUGUUCACAUGAUUAAAGGUAUUCCGGUAGACGAUGGGGAUGCGUUCCAUUAGAUAGUAGGCGGGGUAACGGCCCACCUAGUCUUCGAUGGAUAGGGGUUCUGAGAGGAAGGUCCCCCACAUUGGAACUGAGACACGGUCCAAACUCCUACGGGAGGCAGCAGUGAGGAAUAUUGGUCAAUGGGCGAGAGCCUGAACCAGCCAAGUAGCGUGAAGGAUGACUGCCCUAUGGGUUGUAAACUUCUUUUAUAAAGGAAUAAAGUCGGGUAUGGAUACCCGUUUGCAUGUACUUUAUGAAUAAGGAUCGGCUAACUCCGUGCCAGCAGCCGCGGUAAUACGGAGGAUCCGAGCGUUAUCCGGAUUUAUUGGGUUUAAAGGGAGCGUAGAUGGAUGUUUAAGUCAGUUGUGAAAGUUUGCGGCUCAACCGUAAAAUUGCAGUUGAUACUGGAUAUCUUGAGUGCAGUUGAGGCAGGCGGAAUUCGUGGUGUAGCGGUGAAAUGCUUAGAUAUCACGAAGAACUCCGAUUGCGAAGGCAGCCUGCUAAGCUGCAACUGAC